This 340-nucleotide long non-coding RNA is filed under the name Ananas comosus (pineapple). RNAcentral describes it as "long non-coding RNA (ACOM_LNC016603)". Lineage: Eukaryota; Viridiplantae; Streptophyta; Magnoliopsida; Poales; Bromeliaceae. The record is from RNAcentral.
UUAAGAGAAAUUCUCUUUGGCUCUGUUUGGCAAUGGUAUUGUGUCAUAGGGGAUAAAUUUUUUUAUCCUUGGUAUAUUUCAAUAUUCUAGAAUAGAGAGGAAUACCAAUAAUUUUUUGUUUGGAUGGAGUAAAGUGGGAGUGCGGGAGUCGAGGCGUCAUAAAUAGAGAGUGCGUGGGUCGAGGCAUCAUAAAAAGAAGGAAAAAAAUCACUUGUUUAUUGCUCCACCUUUGAAUUCAUCAGGAAUAAAUUUUAUUCUACAGGUGGGAGAGAAUAUGAUUAACGGGUUAUUCUAGGAUCAACUAGAAUAACCCGCUUUGACUAGAAUAAAUUAUACUUGA